AAUAAGCAUUUGUUUACACCACUCUCCACAGGAUUACUGUGAAGUUAGCAGAGAUCAAUAGCAAACAUAGAGAGAAGGAAAUGGACACAUUCUUUGCCAAGAUGGAGCAAGAAUUUGACAAAAAUAUAACUAGAGCACAAAAAGAAGAUGCUGCUAAAUUUGAAUUUGAAUCCUCUAUAGCUGCUCCUCUAGGAUCUAUGGAUGGGUUAACUCCAACUCAAGCUCUACUUUUGAAGACGUCACAGGAAUAUGCACAGAUUUUGAGGAAAAACUAUAUGAUCUGAAAGAAAUGUAAAAUGUACUUGUCUCAUGGAGGGGAAAAAGAUGGCUGACAGUGAGAGAACUGAGGCAGAAACCACCUCCCAAAACCACAUGUAAUGAAAAUACAGCAAAUACCAGUAACCCUAAAAGAGUGACCCAAAAGACAGCAACACACUGCCUACCUCUGCAGAAAAGAAAAGACCUUAAAAAAAAGGGUAAAGUAGCAAACUCAGCCCAGCAGGUUAGGAACAUUCAGGACCAUCAGAUGCUCCAUCCCCCUGGCUGGCAGUGCAGUGCUAAGGCCCCCCUCACUGUGAUAUGCAGCCUGCCACUCAUUCCUCCCAGCGGGCAUGACUCCACACAGCUGAUGCCACCACCAUUGCACCAGGUCACGUGGCAGGCAGCUCCACCUAGGGUACCUACAGGGGCAUAACACAGAGCUUCCUACCUCCAUUCUCAGCCUACUGGACCUAGCAGUGGAUGCAGAUACUGCAGCCAGGUAGCAUUUUCAUGCUACCAAAAGAGCUUUUCCUCCUGGCAGGCACUAGCACUGCAUACCUGUGACCCCACCAUCGUUCCAGGUGCUGGAUAGCUCCAGAGAGUAGAGCUGGGCUCUAGAGGGUACCACCUACACAAAGGUAUUGUUCCAUAGUCAUCAUCAGAAUUAUGAAACAGCAAAAGAAUUUUGUACAAACCAGGAUACCUCAAACCACCAGAAAGAGGGCUCAGUGAAACUGAAGUCACCAAUGUUCUUGAUAAAGGUUUCAAAAUAAAAAUCAUAAACAUGCUCACAGAGCUACUGA
Molecule: non-coding RNA, 1064 nt
Organism: Manis javanica (Malayan pangolin)
Lineage: Eukaryota; Metazoa; Chordata; Mammalia; Pholidota; Manidae
Source: RefSeq, a predicted model, not a curated record